This 765-nucleotide long non-coding RNA is filed under the name Lathyrus oleraceus (garden pea). RNAcentral's name for it is "Pisum sativum (pea) long non-coding RNA (PSAT_LNC003686)". Lineage: Eukaryota; Viridiplantae; Streptophyta; Magnoliopsida; Fabales; Fabaceae. The record is from RNAcentral.
UUAAAUUAAAAAAAAACAAUUUAUAAUUGUUUUAACAUGCUGAAAACAGAAAAUGUAAAUUGUGCUUCAUCUGCUUGGUCUUCUUCACUCCUCCAUCGUCUGCGCCAAAAUCGUGUUUCAUAAUUUUCUCCAGGUCAAAAACAAAAUCGUUCAAAUCCUACUUCGCCAUUUCUAUUGAAGAUCUCGAAAUAGUCUAUUUUUAGCCAUAGAAGUAGAUCUUUAAAUCGUUCGAGGUACGUAUGCAAGUGUGGUAUGGACGCUCCUUUGAUGACGACAUGGAUGGAUGUGGGAUGUAUAAGAUAUGUAUAAGUUUCUCCAUUGAUGUUUACAGAUUCAAGGUUAAUGGUAUUGAAUGACAUUUAUUCAACUUCAUCUCCAUUGAUGCUUACAGAUUCAAGGUUACAAGAAAUGCAGUCACUUUGUUUGGUUGGAUGAGAAGAUGAAUCCUAAGGAAAAAGAGUUAAUCUCUGCAUUAUUAAAGAACUUAAAUGAAGAUAAGGUGAUGGUUAAAUAGUACAAAAAAAAAGAGGAAGAAUUGAAUAUGAAAGUGAAGAUGUUGAAGAAACAGUUGAAGAUAAACUUGAUGUUGUUGUUUAUUAUAUUGUUUGCAUUUGUUGGGACAACAUUGAUGAAAUAUGUUGUAAGUGAUUAGGUUUUAGGUUAUGUUUCUAUGUUGUUUACUUUAAUGGUGUAAGGUUAUUAAGUUAGCAUUGUAGAUUGUAAUACAUUUUGAAUAAAAUUAAUGCUAUUGUUCAAGUUGUUGGU